CACGAAUGGCGUAACGAUGGCCACACUGUCUCCUCCUGAGACUCAGCGAAGUUGAAAUGGUUGUGAAGAUGCAAUCUACCCGCGGCUAGACGGAAAGACCCCAUGAACCUUUACUGCAGCUUUGCAUUGGACUUUGACGGGACUUGUGUAGGAUAGGUGGGAGGCUAUGAAACGGAAACGCUAGUUGUGGUGGAGCCGUCCUUGAAAUACCACCCUGGUGUCGUUGAGGUUCUAACCCAGGCCCGUGAAUCCGGGCCGGGGACCGUGCAUGGUAGGCAGUUUGACUGGGGCGGUCUCCUCCCAAAGGGUAACGGAGGAGUACGAAGGUCUUCUAGGUACGGUCGGACAUCGUACUGAUAGUGCAAUGGCAAAAGAAGGCUUGACUGCGAGACCUACAAGUCGAGCAGGUGCGAAAGCAGGUCAUAGUGAUCCGGUGGUUCUGUAUGGAAGGGCCAUCGCUCAACGGAUAAAAGGUACUCUGGGGAUAACAGGCUGAUACC
RNAcentral lists this ribosomal RNA (500 nucleotides) under Pseudomonadales bacterium. Its description in RNAcentral is "partial 23S ribosomal RNA". It matches the Rfam family "Bacterial large subunit ribosomal RNA", at positions 1991 to 2489 of the family's 2925-position model. The record is from RNAcentral. Lineage: Bacteria; Pseudomonadati; Pseudomonadota; Gammaproteobacteria; Pseudomonadales.